UCAUCCAAAGUCUGUUAUGUUACGAAAUUGUUUAGAAAAAAGGUGUUUUAAAAACUAAAUACAGAAAGAAAUGCAAGAUUUCCCAUCUUUUCUUUGCAUUUUGUUCAACAUCUUCCUCAAUUUCAAGGUAUGCUCCGUGCCUUGCAACACCCGCCACCAGGUAUUUGAGCAACUCGCCUAGUUAAAUUUUGAAAACUUUCGGAAAUGGAAAUCAAGCACACCCUAUGCAAUUUCAAGGAGUUACAGCAAGUGCACGACUUCCAUGGUAUGCUCCGUGCCUA
Molecule: small RNA, 281 nt
Filed under: Vigna angularis var. angularis
Lineage: Eukaryota; Viridiplantae; Streptophyta; Magnoliopsida; Fabales; Fabaceae
Description: Non-protein coding transcript
Source: RNAcentral